AAGAGACAGCAGCAGCCGCGGGAAUACGGAGGGUGCAAGCGUUAAUCGGAAUUACUGGGCGUAAAGCGCACGCAGGCGGUCUGACAAGUCAGAUGUGAAAUCCCCGGGCUUAACCUGGGAACUGCAUUUGAAACUGUCAGGCUGGAGUCUUGUAGAGGGGGGUGGAAUUCCAGGUGUAGCGGUGAAAUGCGUAGAGAUCUGGAGGAAUACCGGUGGCGAAGGCGGCCCCCCGGACAAAGACUGACGCUCAGGUGCGAAAGCGUGGGGAGCAAACAGGAUUAGAUACCCCUGUAGUCCCUGUCUCUUAUAC
This 310-nucleotide ribosomal RNA is filed under the name uncultured bacterium. RNAcentral's name for it is "partial 16S ribosomal RNA". It matches the Rfam family "Bacterial small subunit ribosomal RNA", at positions 503 to 807 of the family's 1533-position model. The record is from RNAcentral.